This 467-nucleotide ribosomal RNA is filed under the name uncultured Hydrogenophaga sp. RNAcentral describes it as "bacterial SSU rRNA". It matches the Rfam family "Bacterial small subunit ribosomal RNA", at positions 910 to 1382 of the family's 1533-position model. The record is from RNAcentral. Lineage: Bacteria; Pseudomonadati; Pseudomonadota; Betaproteobacteria; Burkholderiales; Comamonadaceae.
UUGACGGGACCCGCACAAGCGGUGGAUGAUGUGGUUUAAUUCGAUGCAACGCGAAAAACCUUACCCACCUUUGACAUGGCAGGAAGUUACCAGAGAUGGUUUCGUGCUCGAAAGAGAACCUGCACACAGGUGCUGCAUGGCUGUCGUCAGCUCGUGUCGUGAGAUGUUGGGUUAAGUCCCGCAACGAGCGCAACCCUUGCCAUCAGUUGCUACGAAAGGGCACUCUGAUGGGACUGCCGGUGACAAACCGGAGGAAGGUGGGGAUGACGUCAAGUCCUCAUGGCCCUUAUAGGUGGGGCUACACACGUCAUACAAUGGCCGGUACAAAGGGCAGCCAACCCGCGAGGGGGAGCCAAUCCCAUAAAGCCGGUCGUAGUCCGGAUCGCAGUCUGCAACUCGACUGCGUGAAGUCGGAAUCGCUAGUAAUCGUGGAUCAGCAUGUCACGGUGAAUACGUUCCCGGGUCUU